Molecule: ribosomal RNA, 441 nt
Filed under: uncultured bacterium
Lineage: Bacteria
Description: partial 16S ribosomal RNA
Rfam family: Bacterial small subunit ribosomal RNA
Source: RNAcentral
CCUACGGGAGGCAGCAGUGGGGAAUAUUGCACAAUGGGGGAAACCCUGAUGCAGCGACGCCGCGUGAGUGAAGAAGUAUUUCGGUAUGUAAAGCUCUAUCAGCAGGGAAGAAGAAAGACGGUACCUGACUAAGAAGCCCCGGCUAACUACGUGCCAGCAGCCGCGGUAAUACGUAGGGGGCAAGCGUUAUCCGGAUUUACUGGGUGUAAAGGGAGCGUAGACGGUUGUGCAAGUCUGAAGUGAAAGCCCAGGGCUCAACCCUGGGACUGCUUUGGAAACUGUGGAGCUAGAGUGCUGGAGAGGUAAGUGGAAUUCCUAGUGUAGCGGUGAAAUGCUUAGAUAUUGCGCAGAACUCCGAUUGCGAAGGCAGCAUACCGGCGGCGAUCUGACGCUGAGGCACGAAAGCGUGGGUAUCGAACAGGAUUAGAUACCCGAGUAGUC